Molecule: small RNA, 29 nt
Filed under: Bombyx mori (domestic silkworm)
Lineage: Eukaryota; Metazoa; Arthropoda; Insecta; Lepidoptera; Bombycidae
Description: ovarian small RNA-2369
Source: RNAcentral
UUCUGCGCUUUUCCCGCCAGCAGCGGGGG